This 1398-nucleotide ribosomal RNA is filed under the name Erronea onyx. RNAcentral describes it as "16S ribosomal RNA". The stretch from base 634 to 1398 matches the Rfam family "Archaeal large subunit ribosomal RNA", at positions 1423 to 2834 of the family's 2987-position model. Lineage: Eukaryota; Metazoa; Mollusca; Gastropoda; Littorinimorpha; Cypraeidae. The record is from RNAcentral.
AAUAAAUAAACAAGGCCUAUUUUAGCUAUAAAAUAUCUUAAUACUAAUUAGAUAAAACAUUAUAUGGUUAAGUAAAGGUGAUUAAAAUUUGACUAAUAAGGCCGACGAAAUAGUACUGAGAAGGAAUAAAUAAAGUAAAUAAAAGAAAAGAAGAAGAUAACAUUCGUACCUUUUGUAUCAUGGUUUAGCUAGAAGAAACUUUAAAUUAAAGUAUCUCGAAAUCUAAUGAGCUAUUUUAGUUUAUUAUAUUAGUAACAUAAGAAGUAGUUGUGGCAAAAACUUUUUAAAAAACCAAAAUAGAAAUGACAUUUUUUUCGUAUUAGAUGAUAGCUAGUUUUUCCAUAAAAGUAUAGAAGUACUUAAGGCUGAGAAUACUUUAUAGUAAAAUUAAGUUAUUCUAAAGAUCCAGUUUUAGUAGAUUCUAGAGGAUGAGCUCUAGGAUAAAACCUGAAAUUUUAUAAAAAUUUUUUAUUAAAUUUAAGCUUGAAAAUAGCUUUAAUGUUAGGAUUUUGUUAUAAUUUCAUUUUAAUUUUUAAAAUAAAAUUAAUCUAUUUUUAUUAAUGGAAAUAAUGUUAGAAAUAAAAAUAACUUAAAUCAAUGCUAAAAUGAGUAUUUUAAUAUUUUAUAUUUAUUUGAUUAGAAUUAAAUUAGAUCAAAUAAGACUAUGAAUUUGAAUUAUAUAACUAAAUUACAUAAAGGAACUCGGCAAAUCUAUGUUCCGCCUGUUUAUCAAAAACAUGGCUCCUUGGAUCUUUUAUUAUAAGGAGUCGGACCUGCCCAGUGAAUAUUUUUAACGGCCGCGGUACUCUGACCGUGCAAAGGUAGCAUAAUCAUUUGCCCUAUAAUUGAGGGCUAGUAUGAAUGGUUUGACGUGAACAAAGCUGUCUCUAUGUAAUUUUCUAGAAUUUGAUUUCUAGGUGAGGAAACCUAGAUAUAAUUGAAAGACAAGAAGACCCUAUUGAGCUUUAAAAGAGUAAAUUGAAAAUAAUAUAUAUUCUUAAAUAUUAAUCUAUUUUAGAUUUUGGUUGGGGCGACUAUGGAACAAACAAAGCUUCUUUAUAAUUAAUAAAACUUACAGGUCUUGAUCCAAAGAUUUUGAUUAAUGGAAUUAGUUACCAUAGGGAUAACAGCAUAAUUUUCUUUGAGAGCUCUUAUCGAAAAGAAAGUUUGUGACCUCGAUGUUGGACUAGAAUGUCCUGAAGAUGCAGCAGUCUUUAAGGGUUGGUCUGUUCGACCAUUAAAAUUCUACAUGAUCUGAGUUCAGACCGGCGUGAGCCAGGUCAGUUUCUAUCUUCAAUUAUAAAAAUUUGAGUUUAGUACGAAAGGACCAAUUCAAAGUAAAAUUUUACAACAAAAGAUAUAAUAUAAUUUAAGGAUAAAUAAUUUUAUAUUUAUAGA